GAUGAACGCUGGCGGCGUGCCUAAUACAUGCAAGUCGAGCGAACAGAUGAGGAGCUUGCUCCUCUGACGUUAGCGGCGGACGGGUGAGUAACACGUGGAUAACCUACCUAUAAGACUGGGAUAACUGCGGGAAACCGGAGCUAAUACCGGAUAAUAUAUUGAACCGCAUGGUUCAAUAGUGAAAGACGGUUUUGCUGUCACUUAUAGAUGGAUCCGCGCCGCAUUAGCUAGUUGGUAAGGUAACGGCUUACCAAGGCAACGAUGCGUAGCCGACCUGAGAGGGUGGUCGGCCACACUGGAACUGAGACACGGUCCAGACUCCUACGGGAGGCAGCAGUAGGGAAUCUUCCGCAAUGGGCGAAAGCCUGACGGAGCAACGCCGCGUGAGUGAUGACGGUCUUCGGAUCGUAAAACUCUGUUAUUAGGGAAGAACAAAUGUGUAAGUAACUAUGCACGUCUUGACGGUACCUAAUCAGAAAGCCACGGCUAACUACGUG
RNAcentral lists this ribosomal RNA (497 nucleotides) under uncultured bacterium. RNAcentral describes it as "partial 16S ribosomal RNA". It matches the Rfam family "Bacterial small subunit ribosomal RNA", at positions 28 to 507 of the family's 1533-position model. The record is from RNAcentral.